Molecule: ribosomal RNA, 726 nt
Filed under: uncultured bacterium
Lineage: Bacteria
Description: bacterial SSU rRNA
Rfam family: Bacterial small subunit ribosomal RNA
Source: RNAcentral
AGCGGCGAACGGGUGAGUAACACGUAGGUGAUCUGCCCAUCAGACGGGGACAACGAUUGGAAACGAUCGCUAAUACCGGAUAGGACGAAAGUUUAAAGGUGCUUCUGGCACCGCUGAUGGAUGAGCCUGCGGCGCAUUAGCUAGUUGGUAGGGUAAAGGCCUACCAAGGCGACGAUGCGUAGCCGACCUGAGAGGGUGAACGGCCACACUGGGACUGAGACACGGCCCAGACUCCUACGGGAGGCAGCAGUAGGGAAUCUUCGGCAAUGGGCGAAAGCCUGACCGGGCAACGCCGCGUGAAUGAUGAAGGCCUUAGGGUUGUAAAAUUCUGUUAUAAGGGAAGAACGACUUUAGUAGGAAAUGGCUAGAGUGUGACGGUACCUUAUGAGAAAGCCACGGCUAACUACGUGCCAGCAGCCGCGGUAAUACGUAGGUGGCGAGCGUUAUCCGGAAUUAUUGGGCGUAAAGAGCGCGCAGGUGGUUGAUUAAGUCUGAUGUGAAAGCCCACGGCUUAACCGUGGAGGGUCAUUGGAAACUGGUCGACUUGAGUGCAGAAGAGGGAAGUGGAAUUCCAUGUGUAGCGGUGAAAUGCGUAGAGAUAUGGAGGAACACCAGUGGCGAAGGCGGCUUCCUGGUCUGUAACUGACACUGAGGCGCGAAAGCGUGGGGAGCAAACAGGAUUAGAUACCCUGGUAGUCCACGCCGUAAACGAUGAGUGCUAAGUGU